This 351-nucleotide unclassified non-coding RNA is filed under the name Hevea brasiliensis (rubber tree). The record is from RNAcentral. Lineage: Eukaryota; Viridiplantae; Streptophyta; Magnoliopsida; Malpighiales; Euphorbiaceae.
AGGGAAAAAAAAAAAAGGAAAAAAAGAAGCCAAAUACAAGUUACCAUGGUUUUUGGAACCAAUCUGGACUGGCCGGUUGGACCAGUUUAACUAGGACCUCGAGCUUGAUUUGUUUCAGUUCAUCUAUAAAACCUUGUUUUAACAAACCUGCACCAGACCGGAGUGAACCGGCGAGUAACUGGCAAAACAUCAAACCUGGUCCGGUUUAAACCGGUUUGAUGGUUUUCUCAUAAAAAAAAAAAAUUUGAGCAUGUGAUACUGCAUUUAGGACUCGAAGAUUGGAUUGCAAACAAAUCUCAAGCAUGUGAUACUGCAUUUAGGACUCGAAGAUUGGAUUGCAAACAAAUCUCA